GACGAACGCUGGCGGCGUGCUUAACACAUGCAAGUCGAACGGAAAGGCCCUGCUUUUGUGGGGUGCUCGAGUGGCGAACGGGUGAGUAACACGUGAGUAACCUGCCCUUGACUUUGGGAUAACUUCAGGAAACUGGGGCUAAUACCGGAUAGGAGCUCCUGCUGCAUGGUGGGGGUUGGAAAGUUUCGGCGGUUGGGGAUGGACUCGCGGCUUAUCAGCUUGUUGGUGGGGUAGUGGCUUACCAAGGCUUUGACGGGUAGCCGGCCUGAGAGGGUGACCGGCCACAUUGGGACUGAGAUACGGCCCAGACGCCAACGGGAGGCAGCAGGGGGGAAUAUUGCACAAUGGGCGGAAGCCUGAUGCAGCAACGCCGCGUGCGGGAUGACGGCCUUCGGGUUGUAAACCGCUUUCGCCUGUGACGAAGCGUGAGUGACGGUAAUGGGUAAAGAAGCACCGGCUAACUACGUG
This 468-nucleotide ribosomal RNA is filed under the name uncultured bacterium. RNAcentral's name for it is "partial 16S ribosomal RNA". It matches the Rfam family "Bacterial small subunit ribosomal RNA", at positions 28 to 507 of the family's 1533-position model. The record is from RNAcentral.